AUUGAACGCGGGAGGCAGGCUUAAUACAUGCAAGUCGAGCGGGGUGAUGGUGCUUGCACUAUCACUUAGCGGCGGACGGGUGAGUAAUGCUUAGGAAUCUGCCUCUUAGUGGGGGACAACAUCUCGAAAGGGAUGCUAAUACCGCAUACGUCCUACGGGAGAAAGCAGGGGAUAACUGGUGACAUUGCGCUAAGAGAUAAGCGUAAGUCGGAUUUGCUAGUUGGUGGGGUAACGGCCUACCAAGGCGACGAUCUGUAGCGGGUCUGAGAGGAUGAUCCGCCACACUGGGACUGCGACACGGCCCAGACUCCUACGGGAGGCAGCAGUGGGGAAUAUUGGACAAUGGGGGGAACCCUGAUCCAGCCAUGCCGCGUGUGUGAAGAAGGCCUUAUGGUUGUAAAGCACUUUAAGCGAGGAGGAGGCUCUUUUGGUUAAUACCCAAGAUGAGUGGACGUUACUCGCAGAAUAAGCACCGGCUAACUCUGUGCCAGCAGCCGCCGUAA
This 503-nucleotide ribosomal RNA is filed under the name uncultured bacterium. RNAcentral's name for it is "partial 16S ribosomal RNA". It matches the Rfam family "Bacterial small subunit ribosomal RNA", at positions 30 to 523 of the family's 1533-position model. The record is from RNAcentral.